AGUGAACGCUGGCGGCGUGCCUACUACAUGCAAGUCGAACGGAGUGGCGCACGGGUGUGUCAUGUAUAGCUCAUCUGCCCUACACUAGAGGACAACAGUUGGAAACGGCUGCUAAUACUCUAUAGUGUAGGAUGAGGCUAUAUUGUAUCAGCUAGUUGGUGAGGUAAUGGCUCACCAAUGCUAUGACGCAUAACUGGACUGAGAGGAUGAUAAGUCACACUGGAAAUGAGACACGGUCCAGACUCCUACGGGAGGCAGCAGGAGGGAAUAUUGCACAAUGGGGGAAACCCUGAAGAAGAAACGCCGCGUGGAGGAUGACACUUUUAGGAGCGUAAACUCCUUUUGUUAGGGAAGCGGUACCUAACGAAUAAGCACCGGCUAACUCCGUGCCAGCCGCCGAGGUAAUUC
RNAcentral lists this ribosomal RNA (408 nucleotides) under uncultured bacterium. RNAcentral describes it as "partial 16S ribosomal RNA". It matches the Rfam family "Bacterial small subunit ribosomal RNA", at positions 29 to 526 of the family's 1533-position model. The record is from RNAcentral.